GACGAACGCUGGCGGCGUGCCUAACACAUGCAAGUCGAGCGAGGAACUUGCAACUGAUUCCUUUGGGAUGAAGAUGUAGGUUUCCUAGCGGCGGACGGGUGAGUAACGCGUGAGAAACCUGCCUUUCACUAGGGGAUAGCCUCGGGAAACCGGGAUUAAUACCCUAUGACACUUAAGGGUCGCAUGGCCUUUAAGUUAAAGCGCUUUAGCGGUGGAAGAUGGUCUCGCGUCCCAUUAGCUAGUUGGUGAGGUAAAGGCUCACCAAGGCGACGAUGGGUAGCCGGCCUGAGAGGGUGACCGGCCACACUGGGACUGAGACACGGCCCAGACUCCUACGGGAGGCAGCAGUGGGGAAUUUUGCGCAAUGGGGGCAACCCUGACGCAGCGACGCCGCGUGGGUGAUGAAGGCCUUCGGGUUGUAAAGCCCUGUUGGGGGGGAAGAUAAUGACGGUACCCCCCUGAGGAAGCCCCGGCUAACUACGUG
RNAcentral lists this ribosomal RNA (484 nucleotides) under uncultured bacterium. RNAcentral's name for it is "bacterial SSU rRNA". It matches the Rfam family "Bacterial small subunit ribosomal RNA", at positions 28 to 507 of the family's 1533-position model. The record is from RNAcentral.